UUGCUGCUUCGCUGACGAGUGGCGGACGGGUGAGUAAUGUCUGGGAAACUGCCUGAUGGAGGGGGAUAACUACUGGAAACGGUAGCUAAUACCGCAUAACGUCGCAAGACCAAGGAGGGGGACCUUCGGGCCUCUUGCCAUCGGAUGUGCCCAGAUGGGAUUAGCUAGUAGGUGGGGUAACGGCUCACCUAGGCGACGAUCCCUAGCUGGUCUGAGAGGAUGACCAGCCACACUGGAACUGAGACACGGUCCAGACUCCUACGGGAGGCAGCAGUGGGGAAUAUUGCACAAUGGGCGCAAGCCUGAUGCAGCCAUGCCGCGUGUAUGAAGAAGGCCUUCGGGUUGUAAAGUACUUUCAGCGGGGAGGAAGGUGCUGAGGUUAAUAACCUCAGCAAUUGACGUUACCCGCAGAAGAAGCACCGGCUAACUCCGUGCCAGCAGCCGCGGUAAUACGGAGGGUGCAAGCGUUAAUCGGAAUUACUGGGCGUAAAGCGCACGCAGGCGGUCUGUCAAGUCGGAUGUGAAAUCCCCGGGCUCAACCUGGGAACUGCAUUCGAAACUGGCAGGCUAGAGUCUUGUAGAGGGGGGUAGAAUUCCAGGUGUAGCGGUGAAAUGCGUAGAGAUCUGGAG
RNAcentral lists this ribosomal RNA (630 nucleotides) under uncultured Pseudomonadota bacterium. RNAcentral describes it as "bacterial SSU rRNA". It matches the Rfam family "Bacterial small subunit ribosomal RNA", at positions 80 to 703 of the family's 1533-position model. Lineage: Bacteria; Pseudomonadati; Pseudomonadota. The record is from RNAcentral.